This 450-nucleotide ribosomal RNA is filed under the name uncultured bacterium. Its description in RNAcentral is "bacterial SSU rRNA". It matches the Rfam family "Bacterial small subunit ribosomal RNA", at positions 354 to 796 of the family's 1533-position model. The record is from RNAcentral.
GUGGGGAAUAUUGGACAAUGGGCGAAAGCCUGAUCCAGCCAUGCCGCGUGUGUGAAGAAGGUCUUCGGAUUGUAAAGCACUUUAAGUUGGGAGGAAGGGCAGUAAGUUAAUACCUUGCUGUUUUGACGUUACCGACAGAAUAAGCACCGGCUAACUUCGUGCCAGCAGCCGCGGUAAUACGAAGGGUGCAAGCGUUAAUCGGAAUUACUGGGCGUAAAGCGCGCGUAGGUGGUUUUGUAAGUUGGAGGUGAAAUCCCCGGGCUCAACCUGGGAACUGCCUCCAAAACUGCAUGACUAGAGUACGGUAGAGUGUAGUGGAAUUUCCUGUGUAGCGGUGAAAUGCGUAGAUAUAGGAAGGAACACCAGUGGCGAAGGCGACUACCUGGACUGAUACUGACACUGAGGUGCGAAAGCGUGGGGAGCAAACAGGAUUAGAUACCCGUGUAGUCC